RNAcentral lists this transfer RNA (76 nucleotides) under Coprobacillus sp. AF09-1A. Its description in RNAcentral is "tRNA-Thr". It matches the Rfam family "tRNA". Rfam says of the family: Transfer RNA (tRNA) molecules are approximately 80 nucleotides in length. Their secondary structure includes four short double-helical elements and three loops (D, anti-codon, and T loops). The record is from RNAcentral. Lineage: Bacteria; Bacillati; Bacillota; Erysipelotrichia; Erysipelotrichales; Coprobacillaceae.
GCCCGCUUAGCUCAAUUGGUAGAGCAACUGACUUGUAAUCAGUAGGUUGAGGGUUCAAGUCCUUUAGCCGGCACCA